AGUCGAGAAUUUUUCACAAUGGGGGAAACCCUGAUGGAGCGACGCCGCGUGGGGGAUGAAUGGCUUCGGCCCGUAAACCCCUGUCAUUCGAGAACAAAUUGGUUCAAUUAACACCUGAACCAUUGAUAGUACCGGAAGAGGAAGGGACGGCUAACUCUGUGCCAGCAGCCGCGGUAAUACAGAGGUCCCAAGCGUUGUUCGGAUUCACUGGGCGUAAAGGGUGCGUAGGCGGUCGGGUAAGUCUGAUGUGAAAUCUCACAGCUUAACUGUGAAACUGCAUUGGAUACUAUUCGGCUAGAGAGUUGGAGGGGGGACUGGAAUUCUUGGUGUAGCAGUGAAAUGCGUAGAUAUCAAGAGGAACACCAGUGGCGAAGGCGAGUCCCUGGACAACUUCUGACGCUGAGGCACGAAAGCUAGGGGAGCAAA
Molecule: ribosomal RNA, 426 nt
Filed under: uncultured Verrucomicrobiota bacterium
Lineage: Bacteria; Pseudomonadati; Verrucomicrobiota
Description: bacterial SSU rRNA
Rfam family: Bacterial small subunit ribosomal RNA
Source: RNAcentral